Molecule: transfer RNA, 77 nt
Filed under: Acidocella sp.
Lineage: Bacteria; Pseudomonadati; Pseudomonadota; Alphaproteobacteria; Acetobacterales; Acidocellaceae
Also listed under: 7 other names
Description: tRNA-Met
Rfam family: tRNA
About the family: Transfer RNA (tRNA) molecules are approximately 80 nucleotides in length. Their secondary structure includes four short double-helical elements and three loops (D, anti-codon, and T loops).
Source: RNAcentral
CGCGGGGUGGAGCAGCCCGGUAGCUCGUCAGGCUCAUAACCUGAAGGUCCCUGGUUCAAAUCCAGGUCCCGCAACCA